AGACCCGAAACCCGGUGAUCUAGCCAUGGGCAGGUUGAAGGUUGGGUAACACUAACUGGAGGACCGAACCGACUAAUGUUGAAAAAUUAGCGGAUGACCUGUGGCUGGGGGUGAAAGGCCAAUCAAACCGGGAGAUAGCUGGUUCUCCCCGAAAGCUAUUUAGGUAGCGCCUCGUGAAUUCAUCUCCGGGGGUAGAGCACUGUUUCGGCUAGGGGGCCAUCCCGGCUUACCAACCCGAUGCAAACUGCGAAUACCGGAGAAUGUUAUCACGGGAGACACACGGCGGGUGCUAACGUCCGUCGUGAAGAGGGAAACAACCCAGACCGCCAGCUAAGGUCCCAAAGUCAUGGUUAAGUGGGAAACGAUGUGGGAAGGCCCAGACAGCCAGGAUGUUGGCUUAGAAGCAGCCAUCAUUUAAAGAAAGCGUAAUAGCUCACUGGUCGAGUCGGCCUGCGCGGAAGAUGUAACGGGGCUAAACCAUGCACCGAAGCUGCGGCAGCGAACGUAUCACCCAAGACAACUUUACGGAGUUGACGAUUGACGGAGCGAAGCGACGUCAAAGCGUUCAUUAAAGUCGAGUUGGCUUAGGGAUACGUUCGUUGGGUAGGGGAGCGUUCUGUAAGCCUGUGAAGGUGUGUCGUGAGGCAUGCUGGAGGUAUCAGAAGUGCGAAUGCUGACAUAAGUAACGAUAAAGCGGGUGAAAAGCCCGCUCGCCGGAAGACCAAGGGUUCCUGUCCAACGUUAAUCGGGGCAGGGUGAGUCGACCCCUAAGGCGAGGCCGAAAGGCGUAGUCGAUGGGAAACGGGUUAAUAUUCCCGUACUUGGUGUUACUGCGAAGGGGGGACGGAGAAGGCUAUGUUGGCCGGGCGACGGUUGUCCCGGUUUAAGCGUGUAGGUGUGUGUUCCAGGUAAAUCCGGUUCACUUUAACACUGAGGCGUGACGACGAGGCACUACGGUGCUGAAGCAACAAAUGCCCUGCUUCCAGGAAAAGCCUCUAAGCAUCAGGUAACACGAAAUCGUACCCCAAACCGACACAGGUGGUCAGGUAGAGAAUACCAAGGCGCUUGA
This 1069-nucleotide ribosomal RNA is filed under the name Salmonella enterica subsp. enterica serovar Typhimurium. RNAcentral's name for it is "partial 23S ribosomal RNA". It matches the Rfam family "Bacterial large subunit ribosomal RNA", at positions 711 to 1693 of the family's 2925-position model. The record is from RNAcentral. Lineage: Bacteria; Pseudomonadati; Pseudomonadota; Gammaproteobacteria; Enterobacterales; Enterobacteriaceae.